UACAGAGGUCUCAAGCGUUGUUCGGAUUCAUUGGGCGUAAAGGGUGCGUAGGCGGCGCGGUAAGUCGGGUGUGAAAUCUUGGAGCUUAACUCCGAAACUGCAUUCGAUACUGCCGUGCUUGAGGACUGGAGAGGAGACUGGAAUUUACGGUGUAGCGGUGAAAUGCGUAGAUAUCGUAAGGAAGACCAGUGGCGAAGGCGGGUCUCUGGACAGUUACUGACACUGAGGCACGAAGGCCAGGGGAGCAAACGGG
RNAcentral lists this ribosomal RNA (253 nucleotides) under uncultured bacterium. RNAcentral's name for it is "partial 16S ribosomal RNA". It matches the Rfam family "Bacterial small subunit ribosomal RNA", at positions 524 to 776 of the family's 1533-position model. The record is from RNAcentral.